UCUCUACUACUGUCCUCUGAAUUUUCCAUACCUCGUUCCGUUUCGAUCCUCUUUUCGACUUCGGUUCGUUCUUUACUAUUUUUCAUACUGUCACCGGAAGUUUUCGCCCUUCCGUAUUUUCUGGGUUCUGUCAUUCAGCUGGGGACUUUCGUUCUGUUAACAACUUCCAGUGCUCGCUUCGGCGGCCUGGCUAAGUUCGUCAUGUAGUCCCACUGUUUCCCUAACCCGAGAGGUCUCAUCUAGUUUUAACAACUUAGUAUAAUCUGUACUUUGUCCUCGGGUUUUGUAUCUGGUUCGUCACACUGUGCGUUGAGGUCAUUCUCCGCCAUGUGUUCCUUCACUCCAAGAUCAGGAGCAGCAAACUUGUGUAGUGAAGUGAUGUGAAUAUGGACAAAUCUUCUGAGUGAGAAGUUCGCAGUCAGUGCUGUGAUUAUGUGUUUUAAUAAUAAGUCUGUACUUCAGUAAGUCGGUAUUUUAGAUUAUUAGUCCAAAGUUCUGAAUAUGUUUGCAAGUAGCAAAACGGAUCUGUUCAAGUCAUGUAGUCUUUUCGUUGAGACAUUUUGAGUUUGCGUUCACCUGGGUAUUGGACCAAUCUUGCCCAGUGUGUUUUAGUCAUACCUUGGGAGAGGUUAUCUUUGCACUCUUCAGUGAGUUAGUUAAGUUCUGUUGAUUUGUAUUGAAUUUGUACGGUUCUUAUUCGAGCUGUUGUUAUUCUGUUGAAGCCAGUGCCCAUGGCGUGCCCGUGCUGAUUUUAAUUUAGUUCUGUUUGUGAGUACCGUUGGUUCGGUUUGUUGGUAUUUGUGAUUAUGUGUAUGCAUAUGAGUAUGGAUUUGUAUGGGCUUGAGUUUUGCCCUUUGUGUGAGUUCUGUGCUUGAGUUAAGUGUGAUCUGUCCGUUAUUAAAAUGGUUGUUUCUGUUAUUGUUAAA
Thrips palmi is the source of this 926-nucleotide long non-coding RNA. RefSeq lists it as uncharacterized. The record is from RefSeq and is a predicted model, not a curated record. The transcript has 2 exons. NCBI's taxonomy places the organism in Eukaryota, Metazoa, Arthropoda, Insecta, Thysanoptera, Thripidae.